Carassius gibelio (silver crucian carp) is the source of this 1052-nucleotide long non-coding RNA. RefSeq lists it as uncharacterized. The record is from RefSeq and is a predicted model, not a curated record. The transcript has 2 exons. NCBI's taxonomy places the organism in Eukaryota, Metazoa, Chordata, Actinopteri, Cypriniformes, Cyprinidae.
GUAGUCGUGACGGCAACGUUAUUCCUCCGGCCCUUCAUCUAUCAACAACGCCCAACGAAACCCCAGGAUAAGUCCUAGUAAACCGUGGUUCUGACCCUAUUUCACGUAGAGUGUGUGGAGUGCAGUGGGUGAGUCCUUGUCUUUGCUGUGCGUGUGUACACUUGAAAUCUUGCAGUGUUAUGCUGUGGUUGUGUUGUCAGUAGCCACCCUAGACUGGAUGAGUCGUGGGGGAGACCAGUGACCGUUGAGGCUGGUGAAGCGCCAUUUUCAUCUAUAUGCCAUUUUGCGACCCCUGCAUGGAGACCCAAAUGUAACGUCCUGUCUAGACCCUUUCAGAAUACCCUGGCUCUGUGGAAGCGGUGGUGAAGAAUACACGUAAGCAAGACUGGUGUGAGUAAAAGCCAAAAUUAUACCUAUAUGCAAGGAGGAAGUUUUACUGUUGCAAAUUAGCUGUGUGGAUUUACUUUACCUGUUGUGGAGCCUCUUCAAAGGUUCACCCCGGUCCAGAUCCCUUAAACUGCAAAUAGAAGAGAGGAGAGGGAAGCGUUCGGCCCGGUGCGACAGUGUUUAACUUUCCCCGACGCACAGGAAAUCCCUGUGGAGGCCUGCGCUACGACGAUUUACUACUCCAGUGCCAUUGGAGUUCUGUGUCGCGGGUUGGCGCUCACCUCGGAGUGUGCAGAAGGGGAGGCGCCGCCCGAGCACCCUGUACGAAGAGAUCGGAGGAACAAGUCAUUUAUCAGCCAGUCGUAUGGACCCAAGUAACAGGUAGCCACUCUCACCGGAUCGAUUAUUCAUUGAGUGUUUCACUCUGCCUUCAGGAGAAAAGAAGGGCGCCACGAGUCAACAAAAGCCCAAAGAGGAGGACUAAGGGUUUUCGAAAGGGACAGCGGAGCUUCGUCCCCCUCUUCCCUCUGUGGACAUACUAACCCUCGCCGCAUAGUCCUCUCCGGCCCCUUUCUCCUCUUGCUGAACAGAGACGAUAAUUUUAAGAUUUACCUCCCCCUCCCUGAAUUAUUUUAAUUAAUUUAAAUAAAGUUGUUUUAAUAUUA